Molecule: long non-coding RNA, 243 nt
Filed under: Bos taurus (domestic cattle)
Lineage: Eukaryota; Metazoa; Chordata; Mammalia; Artiodactyla; Bovidae
Description: long non-coding RNA NONBTAT001829
Source: RNAcentral
GUUCCAGCAGCUAGAUUGGUAGAGAAAAAUGUCACCAAUAUGUCAGGAUAAGAACAGAGGCUUGAAAGACUGAGAGAACGUAGACAAGUUGGAGGCAGUGCAGGACAGGAGGAAUUUCAGGCAAAGGGAUAUCAGCUAGAGCCAAGGAAUAGUGCUGGGACUGCACACUGGAAGGCUUUUGGUUGGAAGUAACAGGGGUGCCAGCAGACAACUGGAAGGGCCAGAACCAGGGACUGCAAAGCC